UGAAAUCCAACACUAAUC
Molecule: small nuclear RNA, 18 nt
Filed under: Arabidopsis thaliana (thale cress)
Lineage: Eukaryota; Viridiplantae; Streptophyta; Magnoliopsida; Brassicales; Brassicaceae
Description: snRNA_11588
Source: RNAcentral